AUGGAGUUUUUUUUUGCGGGAAAAUCUUUCAAUCUAUUCAUCUUCAAUCAUGGUAGUACAACGAACACUAGAAAUAAUAAAAAUUACAUUCAGAUCCGUAGACCACCUAGCGACGACUACAAGCACUGAUGCGAGCCGAAGGCUGCGCCGCUGUCAUCGCCCCUCCCUCGCCGGAGCCGGGCAAACGUUGUUGUAGUAGACAGUCGGGAGUCGUCGUGCUAAGGCCCAUGGAACCAACGCACCAGAACAGCAACCGCCGCAGAUGAAGAGUGUAGAUCAAAAGAAUCCAAUCUGAAGACACACGAGCGAAGACGAACGACGAACAGAUCUGAGCAAAUCCACCAAAGACAGAUCCACCGGAGACGCACCUCCACACGCCCACCGAUGAUGCUAGACGCAUCACCGGAACGGGGGCUAGGCGGGGGGACCUUUAUUUCAUCUUCAGGGAGCCGCCACCGUCUCGUCUUCCUGAGCAGGACACAAACCCUAACAAAUCUCAAAAACAGAUCUAAAAACGGAGCCCUCCCACCGGCAAGGGCCGAGAUCCACUCCGCCUCUAUGGCCCUAAGGCCACCGGAGACGGGACGGACUGGCACCGGCGCCGACGGGAGGCAGAGAAUCUUAGUUUGUUUGGAGGCGGCGGUCUUGUAUGCAGUAGACGUCUUGGCGUGUUCAUUGUGUUCGUUGAUUUUCGGUGUGUGCAUCCUGUAGACGUCUAGGCGUGUUCAUUGUGUUUGUAUUCCUUUCAUGCUUAUUUUUAAAUAAAAAAUCAAUAAAUUCACCUUACCUGAGUAGUAGUAAAAACCACAUACUGUGUGUGUGGUCCAUCAAGCGGUCCGUGUUUAGAAGAUUGACCGAGCGAGUGAUCCCC
Molecule: long non-coding RNA, 871 nt
Filed under: Triticum aestivum (bread wheat)
Lineage: Eukaryota; Viridiplantae; Streptophyta; Magnoliopsida; Poales; Poaceae
Description: long non-coding RNA (TAES_LNC018325)
Source: RNAcentral